This is a long non-coding RNA of Eptesicus fuscus (big brown bat), 261 nucleotides long. RefSeq lists it as uncharacterized. The transcript has 3 exons. NCBI's taxonomy places the organism in Eukaryota, Metazoa, Chordata, Mammalia, Chiroptera, Vespertilionidae. The record is from RefSeq and is a predicted model, not a curated record.
AGAAUGUCUGGAACCCAGUGUUCCACAGAGAAAAGGAGCCACCUUCUAAACACUGUUAAACAGAAGAUGUUACAUUCAACUAUAUGAAGAGUCCCUCAAGACCAUGUCAGGGUCCCGUGGAGGUUUUCAGAGGCUAUUUCCUGUGAGAUAUCACAGCCGAUUGAAUGCAGAGCAGGGCAAGAACCCAGCUGUCUUGAAGAGAUGUAUAAAAAUGUGAAAGUGCCUCUCCUCUCACAAAAUUGUUUGUGAGAAUAUACUUUG